RNAcentral lists this ribosomal RNA (375 nucleotides) under uncultured bacterium. RNAcentral's name for it is "bacterial SSU rRNA". It matches the Rfam family "Bacterial small subunit ribosomal RNA", at positions 523 to 897 of the family's 1533-position model. The record is from RNAcentral.
AUACGUAGAUGGCAAGCGUUAUCCGGAAUGACUGGGCGUAAAGGGUGCGUAGGCGGUUGUUUAAGUCAGAUGUGAAAAUCUCGGGCUCAACCUGGGGACUGCAUUUGAAACUGGACGAAUUGAGUGCCGGGGAGGAAAGGGGAAGUCCUAGUGUAGCGGUGAAAUGCGUAGAUAUUAGGAUGAACACGAGUGGCGAAGGCGACUUUCUGGACUGUAACUGACGCUGAGGCACGAAAGCGUGGGGAGCGAACAGGAUUAGAUACCCUGGUAGUCCACGCUGUAAACGAUGAAUGCUAGGUGUGGGGGGUCUGACCCCUUCCGUGCCGGAGUUAACACAAUAAGUAAUCCACCUGGGAAGUACGACCGCAAGGUUGA